Molecule: ribosomal RNA, 791 nt
Filed under: uncultured bacterium
Lineage: Bacteria
Description: bacterial SSU rRNA
Rfam family: Bacterial small subunit ribosomal RNA
Source: RNAcentral
AGAGUUUGAUCAUGGCUCAGAUUGAACGCUGGCGGCAGGCCUAACACAUGCAAGUCGAGCGGUAGAGAGAAGCUUGCUUCUCUUGAGAGCGGCGGACGGGUGAGUAAUGCCUAGGAAUCUGCCUGGUAGUGGGGGAUAACGUUCGGAAACGGACGCUAAUACCGCAUACGUCCUACGGGAGAAAGCAGGGGACCUUCGGGCCUUGCGCUAUCAGAUGAGCCUAGGUCGGAUUAGCUAGUUGGUGAGGUAAUGGCUCACCAAGGCGACGAUCCGUAACUGGUCUGAGAGGAUGAUCAGUCACACUGGAACUGAGACACGGUCCAGACUCCUACGGGAGGCAGCAGUGGGGAAUAUUGGACAAUGGGCGAAAGCCUGAUCCAGCCAUGCCGCGUGUGUGAAGAAGGUCUUCGGAUUGUAAAGCACUUUAAGUUGGGAGGAAGGGCAGUUACCUAAUACGUGAUUGUUUUGACGUUACCGACAGAAUAAGCACCGGCUAACUCUGUGCCAGCAGCCGCGGUAAUACAGAGGGUGCAAGCGUUAAUCGGAAUUACUGGGCGUAAAGCGCGCGUAGGUGGUUAGUUAAGUUGGAUGUGAAAUCCCCGGGCUCAACCUGGGAACUGCAUUCAAAACUGACUGACUAGAGUAUGGUAGAGGGUGGUGGAAUUUCCUGUGUAGCGGUGAAAUGCGUAGAUAUAGGAAGGAACACCAGUGGCGAAGGCGACCACCUGGACUGAUACUGACACUGAGGUGCGAAAGCGUGGGGAGCAAACAGGAUUAGAUACCCUGGUAGU